UACGAAGGGGGCUAGCGUUGCUCGGAAUCACUGGGCGUAAAGCGCACGUAGGCGGCUUACUAAGUCAGGGGUGAAAUCCUGGAGCUCAACUCCAGAACUGCCUUUGAUACUGAGGAGCUUGAGUCCGGGAGAGGUGAGUGGAACUGCGAGUGUAGAGGUGAAAUUCGUAGAUAUUCGCAAGAACACCAGUGGCAAAGGCGGCUCACUGGCCCGGUACUGACGCUGAUGUGCGAAAGCGUGGGGAGCAAACAGG
Molecule: ribosomal RNA, 253 nt
Filed under: uncultured bacterium
Lineage: Bacteria
Description: partial 16S ribosomal RNA
Rfam family: Bacterial small subunit ribosomal RNA
Source: RNAcentral